AUAAGUACAGUGAGAUGGCAUAUAUAAACAGUCCAUUAGAUAUGCUCUUUUAAAAUAGUGACACAUCCAUUAAUGCAUUUCACAAUCAUCAGUGCACUGUCUUGUCUAAAUGCUAUUGUUAUCACAGUCCUUACCCUUACUGGAAAAAGAUGCAUACAUUUUCCUGACAAUGGUGUUGUUCAGAGUGACAGGCGUAGGAGAAAGCUUUUAUCACCUAGACACUUAGCAGCAGUUUAGCUACAGUAGCAGCUACAGUUUUAUGCCAAAAGUUCAACAGAUUUUUUCCUUUUUUUCUUUUUUUAACCAUUUGCAAAAUCAACAGGAAAAACAGAGGUACAGCACGUUAAAAGCUGUCACUACCAGUUUGGUGCUGCAGCUCUAUCACAUGCAUGGUCUUACAUGAACUGUGAAGCAUGGUGUAAGAAAGAACAAUUCCAGGAAGGGUUUUUGGAUCUAAUGCUGGAAUCUUUGAUAUACACAUUUUUUUCCCCAAACACAGCAGUACAUACAGCAAAACAUGUCAGACCAUUUACUCUUCUUAAGCUACUGCUGUCUGAGAUAAAAUAUAGCACGGAAGAUUAUUCUUAAAAGAGGGUAUUUCAUGCUUAUAAAGUCAUUUCAGUGUUGCUAUUUUCAGAGCAGAUUAGUAAGAAAGAGUACUUGCUAGUAACAUAAUUAUGGUUAAUAUUCCUUUGAGAUACGAAUGAAGUUAGGACUUUUCCUUUCCUUAUGUGGCAUUAAGCAUUUCGCCUGUGUACUUUUUGCACAUUCUCCCUCAAUAUUUUCCUUCAACUAAUCACCCACAAUGAGGCCUUUCUGAAGCAGUGAUUUCAGUUUCUGGACAGAGGCGGGGGGGUUUACAAAAGUGCUCUCUAUUGGCCUCAUUAUGCUCCCAGUGAACACAAUUGGCAUUCAGUACUGACUGAAGGCACAGUGUUGGCCUCAAAAUGAGCACUUUGGAAAAUUUCAUGUAAGAGUCUAAAGGCCACAAAUCAUGUUAAAAUCACAGACUAUCCAACUAUACUGGUUUUACUCAUGUGUUUCUAAGGUAAAUAACUGAAACGUAGUGAAAUUUAUUAGAUAGAGGAAUCUAUCUGGAAUCCAAAUAUAGGAAACUAUCUAACCAACUUUCCCCAAAUGAACAAUUCCAUUUCAAAAAAGUUUCUAUUUUCUUAAAUAUACAUUUGACUCAUGGUAACUCAUUUGCCUUAGCACACUUAGUAACUGCUGACAAGAUCAGUUCCCUAGAGCAGUUCUACAUACAAACAAAACACUAAAAUAAAAAGAAACAAAUUAAAAAUCCUCAUCCUCAUUUUCUUUUGUAUUCAAAAAGGAAAGAAAGCAACAUUACCAUCUUUCAUACUUGAUUUAGGUUGUUUUGUUAUACAUACUCUCUUCUCUGUAAAACAAUGAACUUGCUUUAAUACAAAUAGAUACAGUGUUAUUGAAAAAGCAAAUGAAUUCUUCCAUUUUACAGGAUGAAUCAUUACUAGAAAUGAAAACUUAUGCUUUUUUUUUAUAAACUGCUGGCAUGAUGUAGAGGUCUGUCCCAGCUUCAAGCCUGUCCUGUUUUUUUUCUGCUCUUAUAAUUAUUGAAUGUCGAAGUAUUUCUCUUGAAGAGACAGAAUAAUUUUUAACUUUAAACUAAUAUGCAAAUGUCAUUUGUCAUAUAAUGCUAUAUAAACAAUGACUUCAGAAAUCUACUUCCAAUUAUGCACAGCAUGUAGAGUCUGUGCUUUUGAAGGUACACUAUCUGAGUCAGCAGUUUGGGAAAAAACCUUCAGUUCUGCCUAUUCACUUCAGUAACUAUUUACAUCUCAUUUCUACUACUCCAUUAACCUUGGACACUGACAUGCUUCAUGAUUACAUAUAUUCAGUCUAUAAAAUGUUUUUGUAUAGUGUCACAGAUCUGCAUUGCGCCAUACAGAAAAGCAAAAAUCACACUUCCUGGCAAAAGAGCAGGAACAGAGACUGGCUGGAUUAAGACAAUAGGAAGGGCACAAGAUAAUAUAAACUGAUUAAGCUGUGUGUUCCAAUUGCUGUCUGGGGCUUGUUAUUACUGUGUUUAGGUCUAUCAUAUAUUUUUACAGCAGAAAAAUCAGUAGCAAUCAAAAAAAGGUGUUUAUUGUGGAGAGCAAUUUGCAUUCCAGAAGGAAAUGAAAUAGCAUCUCCACAGUGGCUGAACAGAAAACCUGUAAGGAAAGGACCAACUGUGUAUCAGGAAGCUGAUCAAGGUAGCUGAUGACCCACUGAUUGCACAGAGCACAGGGAUGUGGGCAGAGGUUUGGAAGGUGUGAGGGCAGUAAGGCAUUGCCUAUUCCAUAUGUUUACUUGUUUGGAAUGCAGAGCAUACGGAAGCAGAAGCGGGGCCUUUGUGUAGUGAUGGCAAGUGUGACUGGUCCACAAUAUGGCCAAAGGGUCAAUUCCUUGUCUGAAGGUAACAGUGACUCCCUCAUUCCGGCCCAGAAUUGAACCAUAAAUAGCUGCAGUGAAUCUUAGGAAACAGAGAUGACUCAUUUAUGUCUACUGUAGAGGACUUAUUUCCCGCCAGGGGAACUCUGAGCAUCUUCAUUACCUUCCACUGGAUUUGCUUCACCCUUUCCACAACUUUCUUGUGCUGAGGAUCUGGAUGCAGUACUCCAGGUGGGGUCUCACAAGGACAGAGGAGAGGGGGAGAAAGAAACAUCUCCCUCAAGGUGGUUGCCUCAAUUUCUUGACACAGGAUAAAAUAAGGGCUGGGAAUCGAUGAAGAUUCAAGAGAGACUGUAUAUAAUUUACAAGUACAGAUUCAUGGAUUAUGACAGUCUAUGAGCUUCUGUAUAUGCAUUAUCCUCUGAGUGUAUGACCCUGGGCAGUGAACAGGAAGAGAUGUCAGUGUGGCAACCUGGAGAUCUUUUCUAGCACACCUGUCUUAAAGAAUUGUAACAAAGAAGCCUAUAAAUUAAUUGUAUGUUUUGCAGGCAUUGGUAAGUUCUUACAGGCAAACAUUUUUCAAUCUCUUUUGUAGGGUGAUAAAUGAUAAAUAACAAAAACAAAAAAGGAAAAA
Long non-coding RNA from Passer domesticus (house sparrow), 3046 nucleotides. RefSeq lists it as uncharacterized. The record is from RefSeq and is a predicted model, not a curated record. Lineage: Eukaryota; Metazoa; Chordata; Aves; Passeriformes; Passeridae. The transcript is spliced from 2 exons.